AUGAAUUAUUAUUAUUUUUGCAUUGAAUACAACUGUAUUAUCGAGAUGCGGCUACUUUCUGUGUGCUCCUCUAUAAUUGCUAAUUCAGAACCUCAUUACAUGAUGGUUCUUCUCGAAGGUUUAGUGCCCAUGGCAUUGGGAGGUACCCAGGAGCCUGCAGCCUACGCCGGCGGAGGGUUGAACCCUGAUGUGAACAAGAAGCUGAGCGCCAACAUUGCUUCCAUCCUGGAGUCAAAGCUGUCCAUCCCCAAGUUCCCGCUUCUACCUCAACUUCUGGGAUUCAAAGGCAAGCAGACAUUAUUUAUCGUCUACUGCUUAUUCAUGGGUCUUCAUCAGGCAUCAUCAUGUUCUCGUUGCAAUUUUGUUGUUUGUUAG
Molecule: ribosomal RNA, 375 nt
Filed under: Triticum aestivum (bread wheat)
Lineage: Eukaryota; Viridiplantae; Streptophyta; Magnoliopsida; Poales; Poaceae
Description: partial small subunit ribosomal RNA
Source: RNAcentral